GUAAAUAUAAUUUAAUAAAAAUAUUAGAUUGUGAAUCUAACAAUAAAGGUUUAAAUCCUCUUAUUUACC
Molecule: transfer RNA, 69 nt
Filed under: Cynogale bennetti (Otter civet)
Lineage: Eukaryota; Metazoa; Chordata; Mammalia; Carnivora; Viverridae
Description: tRNA-His
Rfam family: tRNA
About the family: Transfer RNA (tRNA) molecules are approximately 80 nucleotides in length. Their secondary structure includes four short double-helical elements and three loops (D, anti-codon, and T loops).
Source: RNAcentral